AGUGGUGGCUCAAUGGUAGAGUGCUUGCCUGGCACGUGUGAGGCCCUGGGUUCCAUCCUUAGCACCACUU
This 70-nucleotide transfer RNA is filed under the name Marmota marmota marmota (Alpine marmot). It matches the Rfam family "tRNA". From Rfam's summary of the family: Transfer RNA (tRNA) molecules are approximately 80 nucleotides in length. RNAcentral also lists the same sequence under 1 other name. Lineage: Eukaryota; Metazoa; Chordata; Mammalia; Rodentia; Sciuridae. The record is from Rfam by way of RNAcentral.